Molecule: ribosomal RNA, 177 nt
Filed under: uncultured Streptomyces sp.
Lineage: Bacteria; Bacillati; Actinomycetota; Actinomycetes; Kitasatosporales; Streptomycetaceae
Description: partial 16S ribosomal RNA
Rfam family: Bacterial small subunit ribosomal RNA
Source: RNAcentral
ACUCCUACGGGAGGCAGCAGUGGGGAAUAUUGCACAAUGGGCGAGAGCCUGAUGCAGCGACGCCGCGUGAGGGAUGACGGCCUUCGGGUUGUAAACCUCUUUCAGCAGGGAAGAAGCGAAAGUGACGGUACCUGCAGAAGAAGCGCCGGCUAACUACGUGCCAGCAGCCGCGGUAAU